This 535-nucleotide ribosomal RNA is filed under the name uncultured bacterium. Its description in RNAcentral is "bacterial SSU rRNA". It matches the Rfam family "Bacterial small subunit ribosomal RNA", at positions 777 to 1304 of the family's 1533-position model. The record is from RNAcentral.
AAUAGAUACCUCGGUAGUCCACGCCGUAAACGAUGAGUGCUAAGUGUUAGAGGGUUUCCGCCCUUUAGUGCUGCAGUCUAACGCAUUAAGCACUCCGGCCUGGGGAGUACGGUCGACAAGUAACUGAAACUCAAAGGAAUUGACGGGGGCCCGCACAAGCGGUGGAGCAUGUGGUUUAAUUCGAAGCAACGCGAAGAACCUUACCAGGUCUUGGCAUCCCACUGACCGGUAUAGAGAUAUACCUUUCCCUUCGGGGACAGUGGUGACAGGUGGUGCAUGGUUGUCGUCAGCUCGUGUCGUGAGAUGUUGGGUUAAGUCCCGCAACGAGCGCAACCCUUGAUCUUAGUUGCCAGCAUUUAGUUGGGCACUCUAAGGUGACUGCCGGUGACAAACCGGAGGAAGGUGGGGAUGACGUCAAAUCAUCAUGCCCCUUAUGACCUGGGCUACACACGUGCUACAAUGGAUGGUACAAAGGGGCUGCAAGACUGCGAAGUCAAGCCAAUCCCAUAAAACCAUUCUCAGUUCGGAUUGCAGG